RNAcentral lists this long non-coding RNA (977 nucleotides) under Anser brachyrhynchus (Pink-footed goose). RNAcentral describes it as "lncRNA (ENSABRG00000013584.1)". The record is from RNAcentral. Lineage: Eukaryota; Metazoa; Chordata; Aves; Anseriformes; Anatidae.
CGGCCACGGCUCCACCGGCAGGGCCGCCUUGACCGAGCCCUGAGGGCCGGGACACCGCAGCGGGCUCCUCCUUUGGCCCACCCCGGCUUCAUCCUCGCCCCCCGCGGGGCCCGGCCCAGCCUGCCCCGGCCUCCGCCUCCCCUCAGGGCCCGCAGCCUCCGAACGGCUACCGCAGGCUUCGUCCUGGGGUCUCGUUCCCACACCUGUACCCAAAACACCCCCCAAAACAUCCCCAAACGCAGCCCACCCUCUCUUUGUCUUAAAUCACCCCCAAAACCACCGGUCCUUCCUCUUCAGGGCUUAAAUCCCCUGCGUUUAGUCAGCCUGCCUCGCUGGUGCGUGUCCCCAGAGGAAAGGAAAAGCACGUUUCCCCCAAAUAUUCCUUGCUUUUGCCCCAAAAAGGGGUUUGUUUCAUGGGGACAGCAGUGUGGGUACUGCAAGGCCACCAUCACCCUGCGGAGGAAAGGAAAAUUGCCAGAAGCUUUCAGCAGAAGAUGCUGAGCAGUUCUGAGACUGUCUUGAAGAGGACAGUAUUUCCUACUGCCUUGGUUAGCAAGGAGGUGUGGGAAGAGGUUUGCAAACAGUGAUGUCUGUGUGGUGCUUAGAGAUCCAUGAGGAAACAGAAUCGGCUUUCUUAGCAGUGGGAGGCUGAGAUGGUAGAGAACCAGCCACACAAAAUGCUAUUAAAGGAUAAAAAAAAAAAUGCUGAAUGACAGUCUAGGCUGGACUGAAUUUCCAUAGCAAGGCUCACUGUUAUACAUGAAGGCCUUCCUUUGCAUCACCUUGAACAUGCUCUAGCUGCUGGAGACAGAGGGCAAAAAAAGGGAGUGGGUUCUCGUGGGCUUGAUCUCUCUGGUUGUCUCUUCACCCUCCUUUACCCUGUGGUGGGUCAAAUUCUGCCUUCUCUUCUCAAGGCUGAGAACUGGAGGUGGGGAGAGUCCUCAAAUGUGCUGACAUUUCUGAGUUUAGUGCAUCCC